GCGUGGCGGCAGUGUACGUGGCCUACUGGCGGGAAUGUGCGUGACCUCCAGGCCCUUUACCUUUGCCUGUGACCUCCCGGCCCUUUACCUUUGCCUGUAACUUUCCCAGAUUGCUUGAGCCCUGUGCACAAACAUUCGUAGCAACUGUAUUUUUAAUGGCCAGAGAUGAGACACAGUCCAGUGCCCAUCCGCUGGGGAAUGGACGAAUGUAUCGUGGGACACCUGCAUGAGAAAUUCACUCAGCAAAUGAGAAAGAACAGCUGACAGCAAAACGGCACAGGUGAACCUGGAAGCAAGAUGGUUGGCAUCGUCACGCGAAGCUCUGCACUGAGGAUCACUCCUUCCUGGGCUGUGUUUAGCCCGAGCUGAAAUGUUUGCUAUCAUUUAGAUGAGACCCUACCACUUUGUUCUAUGGAUCCCUGGAACAUUGUGAUUAUCAUAAUGGGUG
This 448-nucleotide long non-coding RNA is filed under the name Homo sapiens (human). Its description in RNAcentral is "HSALNT0324565". The record is from RNAcentral. Lineage: Eukaryota; Metazoa; Chordata; Mammalia; Primates; Hominidae.